RNAcentral lists this ribosomal RNA (435 nucleotides) under uncultured bacterium. RNAcentral's name for it is "bacterial SSU rRNA". It matches the Rfam family "Bacterial small subunit ribosomal RNA", at positions 28 to 446 of the family's 1533-position model. The record is from RNAcentral.
GAUGAACGCUGGCGGCGUGCUUAACACAUGCAAGUCGAACGGGAAAUACUUUAUUGAAACUUCGGUGGAUUUAAUUUAUUUCUAGUGGCGGACGGGUGAGUAACGCGUGGGUAACCUGCCUUAUACCGGGGGAUAACAGCCAGAAAUGGCUGCUAAUACCGCAUAAGCGCACAGAACCGCAUGGUUUGGUGUGAAAAACUCCGGUGGUAUAAGAUGGACCCGCGUUGGAUUAGCUAGUUGGCAGGGCAGCGGCCUACCAAGGCGACGAUCCAUAGCCGGCCUGAGAGGGUGAACGGCCACAUUGGGACUGAGACACGGCCCAGACUCCUACGGGAGGCAGCAGUGGGGAAUAUUGCACAAUGGGGGAAACCCUGAUGCAGCGACGCCGCGUGAAGGAAGAAGUAUCUCGGUAUGUAAACUUCUAUCAGCAGGGAA